RNAcentral lists this ribosomal RNA (486 nucleotides) under uncultured bacterium. RNAcentral's name for it is "partial 16S ribosomal RNA". It matches the Rfam family "Bacterial small subunit ribosomal RNA", at positions 30 to 507 of the family's 1533-position model. The record is from RNAcentral.
AUUGAACGCUGGCGGCAUGCCUUACACAUGCAAGUCGAACGGCAGCACGGGUGCUUGCACCUGGUGGCGAGUGGCGAACGGGUGAGUAAUACAUCGGAACAUGUCCUGUAGUGGGGGAUAGCCCGGCGAAAGCCGGAUUAAUACCGCAUACGAUCCACGGAUGAAAGCGGGGGACCUUCGGGCCUCGCGCUAUAGGGUUGACCGAUGGCUGAUUAGCUAGUUGGUGGGGUAAAGGCCUACCAAGGCGACGAUCAGUAGCUGGUCUGAGAGGACGACCAGCCACACUGGGACUGAGACACGGCCCAGACUCCUACGGGAGGCAGCAGUGGGGAAUUUUGGACAAUGGGCGAAAGCCUGAUCCAGCAAUGCCGCGUGUGUGAAGAAGGCCUUCGGGUUGUAAAGCACUUUUGUCCGGAAAGAAAUCCUUGGCUCUAAUACAGUCGGGGGAUGACGGUACCGGAAGAAUAAGCACCGGCUAACUACGUG